Molecule: long non-coding RNA, 371 nt
Organism: Ixodes scapularis (black-legged tick)
Lineage: Eukaryota; Metazoa; Arthropoda; Arachnida; Ixodida; Ixodidae
Exons: 3
Source: RefSeq, a predicted model, not a curated record
CGUCGCUGCGACUGUGCAAGCCGGACAGAAAGGAGCUCGCAGUUACGAUUCCUGGAUCGUAGGUGAAGAUGGUGGCGAGGUCCCGGCUGGGCACUGCACCUGUAUGGCUGGGCUCGGAGAGGUUUGCAGUCACGUUGCUGCCCUACUCUUUUUCAUCGAGGCUGCGGUCAGACACGGAGCCACCGAUGUGUCCUCGACCUCAGUGCGCUGUGCAUGGAGUGCCAGCUCAAGCAGUGGAAAGGCUGGCCCAUCAUCUGUUGUGGACAUCGACUUUUCGCAACCAAAACGUGGUGGCCUGCCAAAAGAGCCAGCUUCACAAAGGAUUUUUGUUCCGCCACAGCCCAAAGGCAAUCCCUUAGAACUCUUCCUCC